GCCAGGGUGGCAGAAUCCGGUAACGCGCCGGUCUUGAGAACCGGUGCCCUCACGGGCUUUAGGGUUCAAAUCCCUACCCUGGCG
This 84-nucleotide transfer RNA is filed under the name Microcaldota archaeon. RNAcentral's name for it is "tRNA-Ser". It matches the Rfam family "tRNA". From Rfam's summary of the family: Transfer RNA (tRNA) molecules are approximately 80 nucleotides in length. The record is from RNAcentral. Lineage: Archaea; Nanobdellati; Microcaldota.